CAUUACAGAGACUCUGCCCUUUGGGUAGACCUCCCACCCUGUGUCGUUAUACCUUUGUUGCUUUGGCGGGCCGCGGGGCUCCGGCCCUGCCCCUGGCUCCGGCUAGGGCGCGCCCGCCAGAGGAUCUCAAAACCUGAACGUUAGUGUCGUCUGAGUACUAUAUAAUAGUUAAAACUUUCAACAACGGAUCUCUUGGUUCUGGCAUCGAUGAAGAACGCAGCGAAAUGCGAUAAGUAAUGUGAAUUGCAGAAUUCAGUGAAUCAUCGAGUCUUUGAACGCACAUUGCGCCCCUUGGUAUUCUGGGGGGCAUGCCUGUUCGAGCGUCAUUACAACCCUCAAGCUCUGCUUGGUCUUGGGCGUCACCGGUCCCGGUGUGCCUUAAAAUCAGUGGCGGCGCCAUCUGGCUCUAAGCGUAGUACAUACUCUCGCUACAGACGUCCGGUGGAUGCUGGCCAGCAACCCCCAACUUAUCAAGGUUGACCUCGGAUCAGGUAGGGAUACCC
RNAcentral lists this ribosomal RNA (503 nucleotides) under uncultured Ascomycota. RNAcentral's name for it is "eukaryotic LSU rRNA". The stretch from base 173 to 326 matches the Rfam family "5.8S ribosomal RNA". Lineage: Eukaryota; Fungi; Ascomycota. The record is from RNAcentral.